UCCCGGCUAGCUCAGUUGGUAGAGCGACAGACUCUUAAUUAAGUCUGGAUGCAUGUGCAUUCAACAAUCUGUAGGUCCAGGGUUCGAGCCCCUGGUUGGGAG
Molecule: transfer RNA, 102 nt
Filed under: Ceraceosorus bombacis
Lineage: Eukaryota; Fungi; Basidiomycota; Exobasidiomycetes; Ceraceosorales; Ceraceosoraceae
Rfam family: tRNA
About the family: Transfer RNA (tRNA) molecules are approximately 80 nucleotides in length. Their secondary structure includes four short double-helical elements and three loops (D, anti-codon, and T loops).
Source: Rfam by way of RNAcentral